UACGGAGGGGGCUAGCGUUGUUCGGAAUGACUGGGCGUAAAGCGCGCGUAGGCGGAUCGUCAAGUCGGGGGUGAAAUCCCGGGGCUCAACCCCGGAAUGGCCUUCGAGACUGGCGGUCUUGAGUUCGAGAGAGGUGGGUGGAAUUCCGAGUGUAGAGGUGAAAUUCGUAGAUAUUCGGAGGAACACCAGUGGCGAAGGCGGCCCACUGGCUCGACACUGACGCUGAGGCGCGAAAGCUAGGGGAGCAAACGGG
This 253-nucleotide ribosomal RNA is filed under the name uncultured bacterium. Its description in RNAcentral is "partial 16S ribosomal RNA". It matches the Rfam family "Bacterial small subunit ribosomal RNA", at positions 524 to 776 of the family's 1533-position model. The record is from RNAcentral.